AGAUUGAACGCUGGCGGCGUGCCUAACACAUGCAAGUCGAUCGGUAACAGGUGUAGCAAUACAUGCUGACGAGCGGCGAACGGGUGAGUAAUGCUUUGGAAUCUUCCCAGUAGUGGGGAAUAACCAGUCGAAAGAUUGGCUAAUACCGCAUACGUCUGUAAAGGGAAAGCGGGGGCUCGUAAGACCUCGCGCUAUUGGAUGAGCCAAAGUCGGAUUAGCUUGUUGGUGGGGUAAUGGCCUACCAAGGCGACAAUCCGUAGCUGGUCUGAGAGGACGACCAGCCACACCGGAACUGAGACACGGCCCGGACUCCUACGGGAGGCGGCAGUGGGGAAUAUUGGACAAUGGGGGAAACCCUGAUCCAGCGACGCCGCGUGUGUGAAGAAGGCCUGCGGGUUGUAAAGCACUUUUAGUGGGGACAAAAAAGCUACGGAUUAAUACUCUGUGGUCUUGAUUUAACCCAAGAAAAGCACCGGCUAACUCUGCGCCAGCAGCCGC
Molecule: ribosomal RNA, 498 nt
Filed under: uncultured bacterium
Lineage: Bacteria
Description: SSU rRNA
Rfam family: Bacterial small subunit ribosomal RNA
Source: RNAcentral